This 334-nucleotide ribosomal RNA is filed under the name uncultured soil bacterium. RNAcentral describes it as "bacterial SSU rRNA". It matches the Rfam family "Bacterial small subunit ribosomal RNA", at positions 26 to 384 of the family's 1533-position model. The record is from RNAcentral.
AGAACGAACGCUGGCGGCAUGCCUAACACAUGCAAGUCGAACGGGACCUUCGGGUCUAGUGGCGCACGGGUGCGUAACGCGUGGGGAUCUGCCCUUAGGUACGGAAUAACUCAGGGAAACUUGAGCUAAUACCGUAUAAUGACUUCGGUCCAAAGAUUUAUCGCCUAGGGAUGAACCCGCGUAGGAUUAGCUUGUUGGUGAGGUAAGCUCACAGCGACGAUCCUAGCUGGUCUGAGAGAUGAUCAGCCACACGUGGGACUGAGACACGGCCCAGACCUCCGUAGGGAGGCAGCAGGUAGGGUAAUAGUUGGAACUAAGUGGGACGUAAAGGCCU